CUUAUUUGGAGGAGAGGCAGGGAGGCCUCCUCAGAGACCCAUCACUGGCAUGCUUCUAACUCUGAACACGUGCUUUCUGGACCUAAUCAUCCAUAUCUGUAGGUUCAAUUACCACCAAUAUGCUCACGAUUCCUUUAUCCAGAUAGAGUAACAGGUUUGCGUCUCCAAGUGAGUCUAGGAGCUCUCUGGCAUGCCAGUUUACUUGCAAUUCUCCAAAUGUGGCAAACAAUUUCAUACCUUUGCAAAUGUGGUUCCUUCUGUCUAUGAUGCCCUCACUCCAACAGCUAUGAAUCAUUCUUCAAAACAUAUGUCAAGCAUCCUGGAAGCCUUCCCUUACUCUAAGUUCAAUAAGGGAAAGUAUGAGUAAUGAAGAGGGGAAAGCCCCUCAUGUGUACCUAACUAACUGUGGAAGUGGUUGAAAAAGAUGCAGCUGCUAUUUGGCC
Sus scrofa (pig) is the source of this 443-nucleotide non-coding RNA. The record is from RefSeq and is a predicted model, not a curated record. Lineage: Eukaryota; Metazoa; Chordata; Mammalia; Artiodactyla; Suidae.